CCUGCAAGGGAAAUACAAAGGAAACUGUAUAUGUGUAGGAAACAAAGGCUCAUAGCAUCACACAAUGAAUUUGGUUUUCUCUUUCUCCACAGAACUUAAGUUACGGAUUCUGUCUUCUGUCCUGCGUGCCACAUUCUUACAGCGCCACAGAGAUCUUAUCUGGAGCAGAAUAAACCAAUUCAUCUGACCUUUCAACUGCCAGCUCUUCUGUAAGGGUAUGAGGCUGCUCUUUCACCUGCUACUUGACCUCCCACCUUUGCUGGAACUGACCAGAAAGAUCAAUGAAUUUCAAAAAACCCAACCAGCCUAUCAGGAGCUAGAGAAGUUAAGACCAAGCCUUGCCUCUUUGCCUCAACACUGGGAGAAGAGCAGCCAAGAAGCAGUAAGAAGGGUAAAGACUACGCCCCAUUUCUUGGCCCUAAUACUGCGAACAGAGCAGCGAAGAAGCAGGAAAAAAGGAAAAGACUAUGCCCCGCCUCUUGGCCCUAAUACCGGGAGCAGAGCAGCCAAGAAGUAGGAAAAAGGGAAGGACUAUGCCCCGCCUCCUUGUCCAAAUACUGGGAGAAGAGCAACCAAGAAGCAUGAAGAAGGGAAAGGACUAUGCCCCGCCUCUUGGCCCCAAUACUGGGAGAAGAGCAACCAAGAAGAACGAAGAAGGGAAAGGACUAUGCCCCACCUCUUGGCUCCAAACUGGGAGAAGAGCAACCAAGAAGAACGAAGAAGGGAAAGGACUAUGCCCCGCCUCUUGGCCCCAAUACUGGGAGAAGAGCAACCAAGAAGCAUGAAGAAGGGAAAGGACUAUGACCAGCCUCUUGGCCCCAAUACUGGGAGAAGAGCAACCAAGAAGAAAGAAGAAGGAAAUGGACUAUGCCCCGCCUCCUUGUCCAAAUACUGGGAGAAGAGAAACCAAGAAGCAGGAAAAAGGGAAGGACUAUGCCCCGCCUCCUGGCCCAAAUACUGUGAGAAGAGCAACUAAGAAGCACGAAGAAGGGAAAGGAUAUGCCCCGCCUCCUGGCCCUAAUACUGGAAGCGGAGCAGCCAAGAAGCAGGAAGUAGUGGGAGAAGAGCAGCCUACAAUGAGAGAAUAUGUAAUUGCUGGAGGCAUCUUACAUUCGGUUGUCAAGGGGGGCAUUUAUAUUGGGCAAAAUUCAAACUGAGCCAAGCUGAAAACAAAACGCCCCAUCCGAUAACAAACAAGACGCACUAAAACAUUAUUUCUGUUCAA
This is a long non-coding RNA of Xenopus tropicalis (tropical clawed frog), 1225 nucleotides long. RefSeq lists it as uncharacterized. The transcript is spliced from 3 exons. The record is from RefSeq and is a predicted model, not a curated record. NCBI's taxonomy places the organism in Eukaryota, Metazoa, Chordata, Amphibia, Anura, Pipidae.